UACGGAGGGGGCUAGCGUUGUUCGGAAUUACUGGGCGUAAAGCGUACGUAGGCGGCUUUGUAAGUUAGAGGUGAAAGCCCGGGGCUUAACCCCGGAAUUGCCUUUAAGACUGCAUCGCUUGAAUCAUGGAGAGGUGAGUGGAAUUCCGAGUGUAGAGGUGAAAUUCGUAGAUAUUCGCAGGAACACCAGUGGCGAAGGCGACUUGCUGGGCUUGUAGUGACGCUGAGACGCGAAAGCGUGGGGAGCAAACAGG
RNAcentral lists this ribosomal RNA (253 nucleotides) under uncultured bacterium. RNAcentral describes it as "partial 16S ribosomal RNA". It matches the Rfam family "Bacterial small subunit ribosomal RNA", at positions 524 to 776 of the family's 1533-position model. The record is from RNAcentral.